AUGACAGGAUCCAGAGUCAAUUCAUGGGCUUUGUCGAUCGCGGGAGACGUGCCACCAGCUUUGCAAAUACCACAACCGUCACGAGAGGUGCACAAACAUCCAAAUGCACAUGAUCAGGUUAAUGUAUCUAUACCACCAUUUAAUGGCCGUUUUAAACCUGCUUUAUAUAUUGAAUGGGAGUUCGACAUAAAAAAUAUAUUUGCUUCCCAUAAUUUCAAUGAACAUAAAAAGGUUAAGGUUGCGGUUGGUUCUUUCACUGGUUAUGCUUUGGUUUGGUGGAGUGAAUAUUGUCGGUUACACCCUGAUUAUAUACCUACUACUUGGGAUGAUUUGAAACUUGCCAUGCGACAUACUUUCGUCCCUGCUUAUUAUACUCGUGACAUGAUUAAGAAGUUGCAACACUUAAAACAAGGUAGUGAAACUGUAACAAAAUAUUAUGAUGAUUUACAAACUACCUUGUUGCAUUCCUCUUUAGAAGAAAGUGAAGAUGAUUUUAUGGAUAGAUUUUGGGUAGGAUUAAACUGUGAUAUUCAAGAGAUACUAAUUCAUGAAGAGUGUUAUCCUAUGGACCAUUUGUUUCAUCUUGCUUGCAAAGCUGAACAGGAAAUAAAACGACGUGUUGGCCACGAGGAGAACAAGCGCAUGGUGCACAUUCCAAGAGUUGAUAUGAUUGUUCCUUCAACUACUAGGCAUACUAUGACAACCACAUCCGUUGUUGUCAGGACUACAUCACCUCCACCAUGUGACACAUCGCCCCCGAGAGUGGCUACAUCAUCUGAGUUGAUCAUAAGAGGUAAUGACAAAGGUACUGAUCUUCCAUCUCUACAUGAGAAUGAUGAAUGCCUUGUCAAUUUGAAUGCACCAUCUGAUGAGCUACCCACUACUUUGAUCACACCACCUAUUUUAGAGGACUACGUUGAUAAUUUGACUUUGCCAUGUGAUCAAACAACUGAAAUACCAACAAUUUUGAGUGCACCCAUUGAAUUAACUAUUGAUGCAAAAGAACCAAUGUUUAAUCAUUUUGAUAUGACCUCUAAUCUUGGUGAUGAUUCUGUGUUGAAUGACUUAUUGCAUGUUUGCUUAUUUAAGCAUGUUGUAGCAUGUAAAUUUGAUGCAAGUAAGGUUUAUUCACCAAUGUUGGGAUGGUUUAAUGAUGAACAUUGUCAAUCUUUUGAAAUGAAUAAGAGCUUCACUUAUAUGUGCAAAAUGAGUUGCAAUAUUUUCAUGCCUUCUACUUCUUGUGCUAAUUUUUUGGCUUUAGAUUUUAUGAACUAUGCAAGUUACUCAUCUAUUCAUGUGUCAUAUAUGCAAAAAUCAAGGGAAGUAAAAAUGGAUGACAUAUACAUAUACAACAUGUACACCUUGUCUCUUUUGUUAGCCACAUUUCAGAUUAAGCAACGCCGAGGACGGCUUUAUUUUCAAGAAGGGGAGGAUGAUGAGGACAUGACUACCUUGGAUAUGACCAAAAAUAUUGCAUAUAUGCAUAUUUGUCAGGUGAUUUCUAGUGCAAACUAUUCAAUAAUCUAUUUAUGUUAUCCAGAACAAAAAUACUUCACACACUUUUGUGUUUUGUCUAAUUGCAGGUGUAUGGGACAUUUGUACAAUCCACAUAUGAAGAUAAGGAAGAAAGAGAUGUUUAUUUGCUGUCCAAAAAGUUCUCUCACGUCACUUUUGGCCCAAGAGAAGAUAGAGUCCAAGUCUCUCACGUUCUGGAUUCAGAUUCGGACUGCACAGACAUACCUGACUCAAAACGCACACAAGUUUUUCAUACGGACUCCGAAUUGGGUGAUUCUUUUUUUGUUGGAAACUAGAUUUCGUGCACUUUCCAACCCAAUUGGAAUCACCUUCAAAUUCGUCCGGAGCGUUGAGUUGUGGACGAAACAAUCUGAUGCUGCAGCAGAAUCCGAGUCAAACUACAUGUCCAAAGGUGUUACAUCACCUCCACUUGGGCCCAUUGGCCUUGUACGACCUAGAUUUAGUUUUAGGCUGCCUUGGGACGUCCUCCCACCUCCUUGGCCGCCACCCCUUGCUCCUAUAUAA
This 2040-nucleotide ribosomal RNA is filed under the name Triticum aestivum (bread wheat). RNAcentral's name for it is "partial small subunit ribosomal RNA". Lineage: Eukaryota; Viridiplantae; Streptophyta; Magnoliopsida; Poales; Poaceae. The record is from RNAcentral.